Molecule: long non-coding RNA, 480 nt
Filed under: Homo sapiens (human)
Lineage: Eukaryota; Metazoa; Chordata; Mammalia; Primates; Hominidae
Description: TTC36 and KMT2A antisense RNA 1, transcript variant 5 (TTC36-AS1)
Source: RNAcentral
GCGGCCGCGGCUCACCACCCCCCGGCUGGUCCCCAGCCCGCGCCGAGUACCCCCGAGUGCCCUUCUCUCCGGGCGCGGGCAGGACGCAGGAGCAGGCGGAGUCGAAAAGACCCCGGCCAUGGAUGGGAGACCUAGGACAAAGAUGGAAAAGAGUGCUUGGCACCAGACAGCUGCUCAAUGAGGAACACAACUGCAUCAUGGAGAAUCCCCAGCAUCCUCAAACCGUUAACACCUAGAAGAAUCAGAAGCACCAGGGAAGUGAGGAGCGCAGUCAACAGGAAACAGCAUGGUCCUACAGAAAUGCCUAUGCUAUAGUCACUCUGCCAGAGGCUGCUCCAGGGUGAAUUAUAGUACAUAUUAGCUCGAAAUUAGCAUCAGAUAGCCAUUAAAAUGAUGCUGAUACAGAUCUAUCAAUAUGGAAAAUGUUUGUGAUAGACGGCUAAGUGAAAAAAGCAUGCCACCAAAAAAAAAAAAAAAAAA